This 81-nucleotide transfer RNA is filed under the name Dentipellis sp. KUC8613. It matches the Rfam family "tRNA". From Rfam's summary of the family: Transfer RNA (tRNA) molecules are approximately 80 nucleotides in length. Their secondary structure includes four short double-helical elements and three loops (D, anti-codon, and T loops). Lineage: Eukaryota; Fungi; Basidiomycota; Agaricomycetes; Russulales; Hericiaceae. The record is from Rfam by way of RNAcentral.
UCGGUUAUGGUGUAACGGCUAACAUUACCGCCUUUCAUUUGUUGAACGCGGUAGCUCGGGGUUCGAUUCCCCGUAACCGAA